This 635-nucleotide long non-coding RNA is filed under the name Homo sapiens (human). RNAcentral's name for it is "HSALNT0341105". Lineage: Eukaryota; Metazoa; Chordata; Mammalia; Primates; Hominidae. The record is from RNAcentral.
UUGUGCCCAGAGUUUGAUUUUCCACAGACCAGGUAGAGGCCAAGAGCCUCUCACAGACUCUGCAGCAGGGUUGCUAUGAUUAACUCUUAAGUACUCCACAACUACACGCUUUUGAAACUGGCGUUGGCAUAGCGUUAGUUCUGUGCAGGGCGGACGCAGCAGGACAGAAUCUCCCUGGGCAUCUUUUCGGAGCAUCAAUUUUACUGCAAAAUUUUGAAAAAACAAAUUUAAUUGAUUUCCAAGGUUUGUCAAGGAGGACAGAAACUCAGAGCACCCUGCACUUGGGGAUCGGCACUAGGAGCUGCUCUCUGGAUGGGGAGAUGGGAGCUAGCAGCUCACAAUGGGGUCACAAGAUGCAUGGUGAAUAUUUGAUGUUUUAGAACAAAAAUGUAUUUACAAAUCUCAUUUGAUGCAGACAUCUGAAAAUACUCAGAAGUUACAAGAAUUCAUAAAAUACCCACCAAAGCUAAUAGAAAACAUGGAACCUUCCAGGACAAGAAGUAAAUUAAAAGAACAACCCAGAGGAGUAAUCAAAGUGAGAAGCCAGUGCCGCCUCCAGGUACUGGAUGAUCACAGGGACCUCAGGCUUUGGGGAUUAUUCAACUACCUUCUUGGAAUAAACAACAAAAAAAGUA